CCGACUCGGUAACAACAAGCAAAUGCGAUGAAUAUGACUUUGUUAAACUUGUAUUACUAUAAAUAGUACAAAAUAAAUUUAAGUUCCUACAUGCCUUCGACGCACUAGCAAUUAUGAUAAAGAAAUAAAUACGUUCGUCAUGGGAGGUAUCCACGUGACCAAUGUUUCCUGAACAGAAGAUCUAACAUUUACUGAUCAGUACACAGAAGCUUCUAGAGUCUUAACGUAACAAUAUCUAUAAAACACCAAAAUGUUAAAAUUAUGUUUAUUGCUAUCAAUUUUAUUCCUUAUCGGAGUCCCGGAAAGUUUUUCUUUUGAUUGCGACGGCAAUUGAUGUCAUCCGUCACAAGGUUAUCCGUGCUGUCAGUGGUAUACAUGUUCGAGUUAUUUUUUUCAGGGUGAAUGCUAUUUUCACUGAUAAUAAAAUAAUGAUUCCAGCAAUUGUUUACUGUUGAAAAUGUACAUUUACUUCAA
Molecule: long non-coding RNA, 474 nt
Organism: Microplitis mediator
Lineage: Eukaryota; Metazoa; Arthropoda; Insecta; Hymenoptera; Braconidae
Exons: 3
Source: RefSeq, a predicted model, not a curated record